UCAAGCUACAAAGGGCUCACGGUGGAUACCUUGGCACACAGAGGCGAUGAAGGACGUGGUUACCUGCGAAAAGUCUCGGGGAGCUGGAAACACGCUUUGAUCCGGGAAUCUCCGAAUGGGGCAACCCCUAGAACGGCCACCUGAAUCCAUAGGGUGGCGCGAGCCAACCCAGCGAACUGAAACAUCUUAGUAGCUGGAGGAAAGGAAAGUAAAAACGACUCCCUAAGUAGCGGCGAGCGAACGGGGAAGAGCCUAAACCGAUGGUUUCGACCAUCGGGGUUGUGGGACAGCAACGUGGACCAGGGACGUUAGUGGAAGCGUUUGAAAGGCGCGCCAUAGAGGGUGAAAGCCCCGUACGCGAAAACGAAACUGGCCUAGCUGUAUCCCGAGUAGCACGGAGCACGUGAACUUCCGUGUGAAUCUGCGAGGACCACCUCGUAAGGCUAAGUACUCCUGUGUGACCGAUAGCGAAACAGUACCGCGAGGGAAAGGUGAAAAGAACCCCGGGAGGGGAGUGAAAUAGAACAUGAAACCGUGAGCUUACAAGCAAUGGGAGCCCGACUGAUCGGGUGACCGUGUGCCUGUUGAAGAAUGAGCCGGCGACUUAUAGGCACUGGCAGGUUAAACCGGGAAUGGUGGAGCCAUAGCGAAAGCGAGUCUGAAAAGGGCGAAAGUCAGUGUUUAUAGACCCGAACCCGGGUGAUCUAACCAUGGCCAGGAUGAAGCUUGGGUGAUACCAAGUGGAGGUCCGAACCGACUGAUGUUGAAAAAUCAGCGGAUGAGCUGUGGUUAGGGGUGAAAUGCCAAUCGAACCCGGAGCUAGCUGGUUCUCCCCGAAAUACGUUGAGGCGUAGCGUCUGGUGCUCCAAUUGGGGGGUAAAGCCACCGUUUCGGUGCGGGCUGCGAGAGCGGUACCAAAUCGAGACGAACUCUGAAUACCCAAUGUGUAGCCAGGCAGUCAGACUGUGGGGGAUAAGCUCCAUGGUCGAAAGGGAAACAGCCCAGACCGCCAGCUAAGGUCCCCAAAUCAAUGCUCAGUGAUAAAGGAGGUGGGAUUGCCCAGACAACCAGGAGGUUUGCCUAGAAGCAGCCAUCCUCAAAGGAGUGCGUAAUAGCUCACUGGUCGAGCGAUCCUGCGCCGAAAAUGAACGGGGCUAAGCGUUGUACCGAAGCUGCGGAUUUAACUUGUUAAAUGGUAGGGGAGCGUUCCAUGUGGGGCGAAGCGUUAGCGUAAGCGGGCGUGGACUGCAUGGAAGUGAGAAUGUCGGCUUGAGUAGCGAAAACAUGGGUGAGAAUCCCAUGCCCCGAAACCCUAAGGGUUCCUCCGGCAGGCUCGUCCGCGGAGGGUAAGUCAGGACCUAAGGCGAGGCCGAAAGGCGUAGUCGAUGGACAACAGGUCAACAUUCCUGUACCUGUCAUGUUUUGGGAAGGGGGACGGAGAAGGCUAGCCCAGCCAGAAGUUGGUUACUGGUUCAAGCGUUCGAGGCGUUGAGGGACGGCGAAAACGUCCUGAGCUGAGGCGUGAGUACGAGCUGCUACGGCAGCGAAGUGGGUGACGUCAAGCUUCCAAGAAAAGCCCUAUACCCGUUAAGGCAUGACGGCCUGUACCCGAAACCGACACAGGUGGGGUGGUAGAGAAUACCGAGGGGCGCGAGGUAACUCUCUCUAAGGAACUCGGCAAAAUGGCCCCGUAACUUCGGGAGAAGGGGUGCCACCGCAAGGUGGUCGCAGUGAAGAGGCCCAGGCGACUGUUUACCAAAAACACAGGUCUCCGCUAAGUCGCAAGACGAUGUAUGGGGGCUGACGCCUGCCCAGUGCCGGAAGGUUAAGGAAGCUGGUCAGCGCAAGCGAAGCUGGCGACUGAAGCCCCGGUGAACGGCGGCCGUAACUAUAACGGUCCUAAGGUAGCGAAAUUCCUUGUCGGG
Molecule: ribosomal RNA, 1925 nt
Filed under: freshwater metagenome
Description: bacterial LSU rRNA
Rfam family: Bacterial large subunit ribosomal RNA
Source: RNAcentral